RNAcentral lists this ribosomal RNA (471 nucleotides) under uncultured bacterium. Its description in RNAcentral is "partial 16S ribosomal RNA". The record is from RNAcentral.
UCUCUAUUCUUAUNAUAAUCACAUUUUCCACAACUUUAUCUUAUCACAGAUACACAAAAAGGCUAACGGCUAGAUAAUAUAUCUACUCGAAAUCCUUUAUAUUAGUUCNUUCUAAAUCCUAAUUUAAUAUUAUUAAAAACCACCAUCUAUUCNUACUGUUCGUACCUACAAGAAAAAUACCACUCUAAGACCAGCUCGCAAUAUCACCUUACACCCUAAAUCAACAGCAUUUAACUUAUCCCUACCUUUCAUUUCUCACUAAAAUUACUCGCAAAACAUAUAAACUAACAAAUUUCCUCCAUAUUUCUUAUUACAUUUACUGUAUUUCUCUUAUCUUUUCUAAUAUAAUCCAUCUUUCUUCCUCAUCUAAAAUAUAUUACACCACUACCACUCAACACUAAACCCUGGUCCUUAAGAUAGGGUGACAUCAACUAUUACCUUCUUACUCUCCCCUCAUUUCUAUAUCUUCCC